UUGCCAAGUGAAUGCCAAAUG
Molecule: non-coding RNA, 21 nt
Filed under: Rattus norvegicus (Norway rat)
Lineage: Eukaryota; Metazoa; Chordata; Mammalia; Rodentia; Muridae
Source: RNAcentral